RNAcentral lists this transfer RNA (73 nucleotides) under Acidobacteriota bacterium. RNAcentral describes it as "Acidobacteria bacterium tRNA-Met". It matches the Rfam family "tRNA". From Rfam's summary of the family: Transfer RNA (tRNA) molecules are approximately 80 nucleotides in length. The record is from RNAcentral. Lineage: Bacteria; Pseudomonadati; Acidobacteriota.
GGCGGUGUAGCUCAGCGGUCAGAGCACGUGGCUCAUAUCCACGGAGUCGAGGGUUCGAAUCCCCCCACCGCCA